RNAcentral lists this ribosomal RNA (249 nucleotides) under uncultured bacterium. Its description in RNAcentral is "partial 16S ribosomal RNA". It matches the Rfam family "Bacterial small subunit ribosomal RNA", at positions 8 to 239 of the family's 1533-position model. The record is from RNAcentral.
AGAGUUUGAUCAUGGCUCAGGACGAACGCUGGCGGCGUGCCUAACACAUGCAAGUCGAGCGGAGACAGUGAGUAGCUUGCUAUGAGCUGUUUUAGCGGCGGACGGGUGAGUAACGCGUGAGCAACCUUUCCCAGACAGGGGAAUAACACACCGAAAGGUGUACUAAUACCGCAUAAGACCACUAGAAUCACAUGGUUCUGAAGGUAAAAGUAAUUUUAGUUCGGGGUUUUGGGGGUGGGCUCGCGUCCG